UGUGUGCAUGUGUAUGUGUCUGUGUGUGUGUGUGCCCGUGUGUGUUGGGGGUGUGUUUCUCUGGCACCAACGCUGAGGGACAUGAGAGGAAGAGGUUCCAGUGUGGCUUAAAAGAAAUGCCUCUGUGUGCUCCCAUCUGUCCUAGCCACGGUGCCCGGGGUGGUCUUCAGGGCAGUGUGCCUCCUGCUCUCAUCCUAAGCCAAACAGGGCCUCAGAAACCCCCGGGUCCCCAGCGCCUGUUGUCUUCUGCCCUAAGAGGCAGGAGCAGGGACGGGGCUGUCUCGGGUUAGGAGCCAUUCAGCUGCUGCAAGGACGCGUCUCAGCAUCAGCCCCGCCCACUUCGGCACACUCUGCAGCACACGGUGGGGCCUGGGCCAUCAGGAAUGGGGCUGGCACAGCCCAGAACACCUGGGCAGGGUGGGUGGCGUCCGAGGGCCUGACCUAUCUGCAGGGCAGGCUGUGAGAGGGUGGACAGAUGGUCCAGGCUCAAAUCCUUCACUGCCCAGCUCAGCAGGGACCUUGAUGUGCACACACAUGUGCACAUCACACACGUAUACACCACACACAUACAUCACACACACACAUUACACACAUAUACGCCACACACAGAGGUCGGCGGGCACACACACAUGCACACAUGUCCAUUUAAAUGCAUGCUCACAAACAUGUAUCAACAGGUGCAGCACAUACAUGCACAUGUGUACACACACAGAUGUGUAUCUGCACAUGCACCCACAUGUACACUCUCAUGUAAACAUGCAUGUACAUGCACGCAGGUCAUGUGGGCUCGCCUGCUCUCAGCACUCGCAGAACAAAUUGACGAGCAGGCGGCAGGCUGCCCCGUCCCUGGCCUGGCCCUCCCGAGGGCACCAGCAGGCCGGCCGUGAGCACACAACACCUUUUGUUUGCUGGCAGGAGCCGGGCUUGCCCACCCCAGCCCACUUCCUGCUGGAGGCGGUCAGAGGCACAGCGCCCGGCCACCAUGUCCUGGGUGGGGACAAAGGGCUCUUUCAAACCCACAUUUCACAACUCUCUUUCACCCGGGCACGGGUGAGGAGGCCUCUCCUCUGGUCCCAAUGUCACAGUACCCCUCAGAGAUGGGAAGGUGCAUCCCCAGGAGCUGACAGAGCUUCCUGAGGUAGCGACUGUGAGGCGACAGGGAGACACGCCAUGCUGUCCAAGUCUUCUGCGGCCAGUGAGAAGCGUGCCUGCCUGGGGGAUUCAGCCCUGGGCCCGGCCUCCUGGGGACAGUGCUUGGUGGCCUAAAUGCUGGCCACCGACCUCUUCUGAACGGCUGUGCUUGCAAUGGCCAUGUCAGAGUGCAGUCGCAGCAAUAAUUGGAUUAUUCCCGUUUAAAGCCCACUUACUCACGCUGCAAGGCAAAGCCUGUCUUCAUCCGAAGGAGACAUCUUAGGUGAGUUAUCAGGAACCCACUCGUAAACGUGCCUUCCGGGACAGCUCUGGGUUAAAUAGAAGGUGUGAUGACAACAAACAAAGCCACACGCUUAUUAAGACGCCUUCAUGUGACACAUCCUUAAGUACGUGAGAGCAGAGCUCACGGAGUGGAACGCGGGGAAUGUAUACACACGGCGCAGCAGGAGGUCCCUCCGCCCUGGA
Sapajus apella (tufted capuchin) is the source of this 1617-nucleotide long non-coding RNA. RefSeq lists it as uncharacterized. The transcript has 3 exons. Lineage: Eukaryota; Metazoa; Chordata; Mammalia; Primates; Cebidae. The record is from RefSeq and is a predicted model, not a curated record.